This 442-nucleotide ribosomal RNA is filed under the name Phaeocystis sp. JD-2012. RNAcentral describes it as "SSU rRNA". It matches the Rfam family "Eukaryotic small subunit ribosomal RNA", at positions 441 to 886 of the family's 1831-position model. Lineage: Eukaryota; Haptophyta; Phaeocystales; Phaeocystaceae. The record is from RNAcentral.
UUGCCCGAAUCCUGACACAGGGAGGUAGUGACAAGAAAUAACAAUACAGGGCUACUUCUAGUCUUGUAAUUGGAAUGAGUACAACUUACAUCUCUUCACGAGGAUCAAUUGGAGGGCAAGUCUGGUGCCAGCAGCCGCGGUAAUUCCAGCUCCAAUAGCGUAUAUUAAAGUUGUUGCAGUUAAAAAGCUCGUAGUCGGAUUUCGGGUCGGGCCGAGCGGUCUGCCGAUGGGUAUGCACUGUUCGGCGCGGCCUUCUUUCCGGAGACCGCGGCUACUCUUAACUGAGCGGGCGUGGGAGACGGAUCGUUUACUUUGAAAAAAUCAGAGUGUUUCAAGCAGGCAGCUCGCUCUUGCAUGGAUUAGCAUGGGAUAAUGAAAUAGGACUCUGGUGCUAUUUUGUUGGUUUCGAACACCGGAGUAAUGAUUAACAGGGACAGUCAGG